GACGAACGCUGGCGGCGUGCUUAACACAUGCAAGUCGAACGGAAAGGCCCUGCUCUUGUUGGGUGCUCGAGUGGCGAACGGGUGAGUAACACGCGAGUAACCUGCCCUUGACUUUGGGAUAACUUCAGGAAACUGGGGCUAAUAUCGGAUAGGAGCUCCUGCUGCACGGUGGGGGUUGGAAAAUUUCGGCGGUGGGGGAUGGUCUGGCGGCUUAUCCGCUUGUUUGUGGGGUUGGUGCUUACCAAGGCUUUGAAGGGUAGCCGACCUGAGAGGGUGACCGGCCACAUUGGUACUGAGAUACGGCCCAGACUCCUACGGGAGGCAGCAGUCGGAAAUAUUGCACAAUGGGCGGGAGCCAGAUGCAGCAACGCCGCGUGCGGGAUGACGGCCUUCGGGUUGUAAACCGCUUUCUCCUUUGACAAGGCGUGAGUGACGGUAAUGGGUAAAGAAGCACCGGCUAACUACGUG
RNAcentral lists this ribosomal RNA (468 nucleotides) under uncultured bacterium. Its description in RNAcentral is "partial 16S ribosomal RNA". It matches the Rfam family "Bacterial small subunit ribosomal RNA", at positions 28 to 507 of the family's 1533-position model. The record is from RNAcentral.